GACGAACGCUGGCGGCGUGCCUAAUACAUGCAAGUAGAACGCUGAAGAGAGGAGCUUGCUCUUCUUGGAUGAGUUGCGAACGGGUGAGUAACGCGUAGGUAACCUGCCUGGUAGCGGGGGAUAACUAUUGGAAACGAUAGCUAAUACCGCAUAAAAUGGAUUAUCGCAUGAUAAUGCAUUGAAAGGUGCAAAUGCAUCACUACCAGAUGGACCUGCGUUGUAUUAGCUAGUUGGUGGGGUAACGGCUCACCAAGGCGACGAUACAUAGCCGACCUGAGAGAGUGAUCGGCCACACUGGGACUGAGACACGGCCCAGACUCCUACGGGAGGCAGCAGUAGGGAAUCUUCGGCAAUGGACGGAAGUCUGACCGAGCAACGCCGCGUGAGUGAAGAAGGUUUUCGGAUCGUAAAGCUCUGUUGUAAGAGAAGAACGAGUGUGAGAGUGGAAAGUUCACACUGAG
RNAcentral lists this ribosomal RNA (461 nucleotides) under Streptococcus sp. oral taxon 071. RNAcentral's name for it is "bacterial SSU rRNA". It matches the Rfam family "Bacterial small subunit ribosomal RNA", at positions 28 to 473 of the family's 1533-position model. Lineage: Bacteria; Bacillati; Bacillota; Bacilli; Lactobacillales; Streptococcaceae. The record is from RNAcentral.